GUCUCAAACGAAAUUGAACUGCAGAGCUGCGCGUACGCACACUGCGCACACGCAAACCGAUAUAGUUUCGCGAGUGAUAAAAAAUAUUGUAUUUGUAUUUCACAAAAACACUGUGAAUUGUGAAUAUUAAGCAUUAGUGUGUUUUGUUCCAAUAUAUUUAUUGCAGUACUGUAAUAGGUAACUAGUGAUAAUGACGUCGCCAGCUAUUACCAAGUCGCCGGAUAACCAGAAGACAGACAAGAAGUCGCCGACGCACUCGGCGGGUAGCGCGGCGGCGGUGGAGCGCGCGCCCUCAAGGGCAGAGUCCCAGGCCGCCGCCCCCGCGCCGCAGCCCGAGCCCUUCAGCUGGCUGCGGAUCUUCAAACUCGCAGACCUCAUGAUGAAGCAAGGAUGCUAAACGCCAUUGCCAUAGACAACAAUUAUGUUCAGAGUAUUCAAGUUGAAUAAUUAUAAUAGCAAUAAUUCAAUUACUUAGGUUAAUAAUGGUUUAUCAUGUCUUGGCGGAAUGUGAAGUCGUACAUUCCUGUAGCUGUCGUUUGUAGGUUAACAUCAUUAUAGAAUUGUGAUUAGGUUGUUUCGGUUUUAUUAGUAAGUACCUAUACUAUUCAAUUAGUGUUGAAAAUAUUAAAUUUCCUCUCAUCUUUAAAAACUUGUUACUUUUUCUAUAGGUAUAACUUUAUUCAAUAAAUUUUAAUAAAUAAGUUAUGAACUAAA
This is a long non-coding RNA of Pectinophora gossypiella (pink bollworm), 714 nucleotides long. RefSeq lists it as uncharacterized. The record is from RefSeq and is a predicted model, not a curated record. Lineage: Eukaryota; Metazoa; Arthropoda; Insecta; Lepidoptera; Gelechiidae. The transcript is spliced from 2 exons.